ACGUAGGUCCCGAGCGUNGUCCGGAUUUAUUGGGCGUGAAGCGAGCGCAGGCGGUUAGAUAANUCUGAAGUUAAAGGCUGUGGCUUAACCAUAGUACGCUUUGGAAACUGUUUAACUUGAGUGCAAGAGGGGAGAGUGGAAUUCCAUGUGUAGCGGUGAAAUGCGUAGAUAUAUGGAGGAACACCGGUGGCGAAAGCGGCUCUCGGGCUUGUAACUGACGCUGAGGCUCGAAAGCGUGGGGAGCAAACAGGACUAGAUACCCUGGCAGUNCACGCCGUAAACGAUGAGUGCUAGGUGUUAGACCCUUUCCGGGGUUUAGUGCCGUAGCUAACGCAUUAAGCACUCCGCCUGGGGAGUACGACCGCAAGGUUGAAACUCAAAGGAAUUGACGGGGGCCCGCACAAGCGGUGGAGCAUGUGGUUUAAUUCGAAGCAACGCGAAGAACCUUACCAGGUCUUGACAUCCCUCUGACCGCUCUAGAGAUAGAGCUUUCCUUCGGGACAGAGGUGACAGGUGGAGCAUGGUUGUCGUCAGCUCGUGUCGUGAGAUGUUGGGUUAAGUCCCGCAACGAGCGCAACUCCUAUUGUUAGUUGCCAUCAUUCAGUUGGGCACUCUAGCGAGACUGCCGGUAAUAAACCGGAGGAAGGUGGGGAUGACGUCAAAUCAUCAUGCCCCUUAUGACCUGGGCUACACACGUGCUACAAUGGCUGGUACAACGAGUCGCAAGCCGGUGACGGCAAGCUAAUCUCUGAAAGCCAGUCUCAGUUCGGAUUGUAGGCUGCAACUCGCCUACAUGAAGUCGGAAUCGCUAGUAAUCGCGGAUCAGCACGCCGCGGUGAAUACGUUCCCGGGCCUUGUACACACCGCCCGUCACACCACGAGAGUUUGUAACACCCGAA
This 899-nucleotide ribosomal RNA is filed under the name uncultured bacterium. RNAcentral's name for it is "bacterial SSU rRNA". It matches the Rfam family "Bacterial small subunit ribosomal RNA", at positions 525 to 1425 of the family's 1533-position model. The record is from RNAcentral.